RNAcentral lists this ribosomal RNA (253 nucleotides) under uncultured bacterium. Its description in RNAcentral is "partial 16S ribosomal RNA". It matches the Rfam family "Bacterial small subunit ribosomal RNA", at positions 524 to 776 of the family's 1533-position model. The record is from RNAcentral.
UACGUAAGGGGCAAGCGUUGUUCGGAAUUAUUGGGCGUAAAGGGCGCGUAGGCGGCGCGACAAGUCACUUGUGAAAUCUCUGGGCUUAACUCAGAACGGCCAAGUGAAACUGUUGUGCUAGAGUGCAGAAGGGGCAAUCGGAAUUCUCGGUGUAGCGGUGAAAUGCGUAGAUAUCGAGAGGAACACCAGAGGUGAAGACGGGUUGCUGGGCUGACACUGACGCUGAGGCGCGAAAGCCAGGGGAGCAAACGGG